RNAcentral lists this ribosomal RNA (1254 nucleotides) under uncultured Sebacina. RNAcentral's name for it is "eukaryotic LSU rRNA". The stretch from base 579 to 1254 matches the Rfam family "Eukaryotic large subunit ribosomal RNA", at positions 1 to 656 of the family's 3401-position model. The record is from RNAcentral. Lineage: Eukaryota; Fungi; Basidiomycota; Agaricomycetes; Sebacinales; Sebacinaceae.
UUCCGUAGGUGAACCUGCGGAAGGAUCAUUAACGAAUUCAAAGUCGGCCUUGUUGUGCUGGUGGAAACACAUGUGCACACUUGGUCGCAAAUCCACACACCUGUGCAUCUAUGACUCGAGGUUGUCGUCGUAUGACCAAGAGUAACUUUUACACACUCUUGAAUGUAAUGGAAUGUCUAUGUGCAUAAUGUACAAUGAAAACAACUUUCAACAACGGAUCUCUUGGCUCUCGCAUCGAUGAAGAACGCAGCGAAAUGCGAUAAGUAAUGUGAAUUGCAGAAUUCAGUGAAUCAUCGAAUCUUUGAACGCACCUUGCACCCUUUGGUAUUCCGAAGGGUACACCCGUUUGAGUGUCAUUGUAAUCUCACUUCGACGACUUUAUUGUUGUUUGAAUGUGGACUUGGACGUCUGCCGUGUAACAAUGGCUCGUCUUAAAUGCCUGAGUGUACCCCGCUUUGCGGCGUAUUCGGUGUGAUAAACAUUUCACCGGAGUUUGGUCUUUAGUGACCGCGCUUUUAGCAAUUGGUGGGCUCUAUGCUUUCGAACCGUCUGCCUCUGUGGACAAUCUCUUGACAAUUUGACCUCAAAUCGGGUGGGACUACCYGCUGAACUUAAGCAUAUCAAUAAGCGGAGGAAAAGAAACUAACAAGGAUUCCCCUAGUAACGGCGAGUGAAGAGGGAAAAGCUCAAAUUUUGAAUCUGGUGUCUUUGGCGCCCGAGUUGUAAUCUAGAGAAGUGUUUUCCGUGUCGGACCGUGUACAAGUUCCCUGGAACGGGGCGUCAUAGAGGGUGAGAAUCCCGUAUAUGCCACGGACUACCGAUGCUCUGUGAUACACUCUCAACGAGUCGAGUUGUUUGGGAAUGCAGCUCAAAAUGGGUGGUAAAUUCCAUCUAAAGCUAAAUAUUGGCGAGAGACCGAUAGCGAACAAGUACCGUGAGGGAAAGAUGAAAAGCACUUUGGAAAGAGAGUGAAACAGUACGUGAAAUUGUUGAAAGGGAAGCGUUUGAAGUCAGUCACGUUUGUUGGGAUUCAGCCUGGCUUCUGCCUGGUGUAUUUCCUUUCCAACGGGUCAGCAUCAGUUUCGACCGAGGGAAAAAGACAUUUGGAAUGUGGCUGUCUUCGGGCAGUGUUAUAGCCUUGUGUUGUAUGUCUCGGUUGGGACUGAGGAACGCAGCGCGCCAUUUUGGCCGGGGGUCGCUCCUCUCGACACGCGCUUAGGAUGCUGGCAUAAUGGCUUUAAGCGGCCCGUCUUG